Molecule: unclassified non-coding RNA, 253 nt
Filed under: uncultured Planctomycetales bacterium
Lineage: Bacteria; Pseudomonadati; Planctomycetota; Planctomycetia; Planctomycetales
Description: contains 16S-23S intergenic spacer region
Rfam family: Bacterial small subunit ribosomal RNA
Source: RNAcentral
UACGUACUGUGCGAACGUUAUUCGGAAUCACUGGGCUUAAAGGGUGCGUAGGCGGUCGCUUAAGUAGGGUGUGAAAUCCCCCGGCUCAACCGGGGAACUGCGCUCUAAACUGGGCGGCUUGAGUAAGAUAGGGGUGUGCGGAACUUCCGGUGGAGCGGUGAAAUGUGUUGAUAUCGGAAGGAACACCAGUAGCGAAAGCGGCACACUGGGUCUUAACUGACGCUGAGGCACGAAAGCUAGGGUAGCGAACGGG